CAGGGCCGGUUGCUUUUGCAAAAUCUCUCCCCGUUCUUGGGACAGCAGCACUAGUGAGUGUAGCAAAAUUAUCCAAACCCAGAAGGGCUUCGUUUUUUAACUUGUAUACUGUUGCAUCUUUGCCAGAAGUUUUUGCUUUUCUGAAAGAAUG
Unclassified non-coding RNA from Panthera pardus (leopard), 151 nucleotides. NCBI's taxonomy places the organism in Eukaryota, Metazoa, Chordata, Mammalia, Carnivora, Felidae. The record is from Ensembl.